Molecule: ribosomal RNA, 586 nt
Filed under: uncultured bacterium
Lineage: Bacteria
Description: partial 16S ribosomal RNA
Rfam family: Bacterial small subunit ribosomal RNA
Source: RNAcentral
UGGGGAAUUUUGGACAAUGGGCGAAAGCCUGAUCCAGCAAUGCCGCGUGUGGGAAGAAGGCCUUCGGGUUGUAAAGCACUUUUGUCCGGAAAGAAAUCCUUGGCUCUAAUACAGUCGGGGGAUGACGGUACCGGAAGAAUAAGCACCGGCUAACUACGUGCCAGCAGCCGCGGUAAUACGUAGGGUGCAAGCGUUAAUCGGAAUUACUGGGCGUAAAGCGUGCGCAGGCGGUUUGCUAAGACCGAUGUGAAAUCCCCGGGGCUCAACCUGGGGAACUGCAUUGGUGACUGGCAGGCUAGAGUAUGGCAGAGGGGGGUAGAAUUCCACGUGUAGCAGUGAAAUGCGUAGAGAUGUGGAGGAAUACCGAUGGCGAAGGCAGCCCCCUGGGCCAAUACUGACGCUCAUGCACGAAAGCGUGGGGGAGCAAACAGGAUUAGAUACCCUGGUAGUCCACGCCCUAAACGAUGUCAACUAGUUGUUGGGGAUUCAUUUCCUUAGUAACGUAGCUAACGCGUGAAGUUGACCGCCUGGGGAGUACGGUCGCAAGAUUAAACUUAAUGAAUUGACGGGGUCAUAGCUGUUUCCU